CCUGCCUUUCUACGCCAGUUCUCAUUGGAUCAUUAAAGUUAAGCAAUGUCGAACCUAGGUAGUAUCUAGAUGGGUGACCGCUUGGGAAUACCAGGUGCUGUAAG
Acanthosepion pharaonis is the source of this 104-nucleotide non-coding RNA. The record is from the annotation of a GenBank genome assembly. Lineage: Eukaryota; Metazoa; Mollusca; Cephalopoda; Sepiida; Sepiidae.